RNAcentral lists this transfer RNA (57 nucleotides) under Apis cerana (Asiatic honeybee). RNAcentral's name for it is "tRNA-His". The record is from RNAcentral. Lineage: Eukaryota; Metazoa; Arthropoda; Insecta; Hymenoptera; Apidae.
AUUUAAAUAGUUUAAAAAAAAAUAUUGAUUUGUGGAAUCAAUGAUAUAAUUUAAUUU